GACGAACGCUGGCGGCGUGCCUAAUACAUGCGAGUAGAACGCACAGUUUAUACCGUAGCUUGCUACACCAUAGACUGUGAGUUGCGAACGGGUGAGUAACGCGUAGGUAACCUGCCUGGUAGCGGGGGAUAACUAUUGGAAACGAUAGCUAAUACCGCAUAAUAUUAAUUAUUGCAUGAUAAUUAAUUGAAAGGUGCAAUUGCACCACUACCAGAUGGACCUGCGUUGUAUUAGCUAGUAGGUGAGGUAACGGCUCACCUAGGCGACGAUACAUAGCCGACCUGAGAGGGUGAUCGGCCACACUGGGACUGAGACACGGCCCAGACUCCCACGGGAGGCAGCAGUAGGGAAUCUUCGGCAAUGGACGAAAGUCUGACCGAGCAACGCCGCGUGAGUGAAGAAGGUUUUCGGAUCGUAAAGCUCUGUUGUAAGAGAAGAACGGGUGUGAGAGUGGAAAGUUCACACUGUGACGGUAUCUUACCAGAAAGGGACGGCUAACUACGUG
RNAcentral lists this ribosomal RNA (505 nucleotides) under uncultured bacterium. RNAcentral describes it as "partial 16S ribosomal RNA". It matches the Rfam family "Bacterial small subunit ribosomal RNA", at positions 28 to 507 of the family's 1533-position model. The record is from RNAcentral.